Molecule: ribosomal RNA, 492 nt
Filed under: uncultured bacterium
Lineage: Bacteria
Description: partial 16S ribosomal RNA
Rfam family: Bacterial small subunit ribosomal RNA
Source: RNAcentral
GGUGAACGCUGGCGGUAGGCCUAACACAUGCAAGUCGAACGGCAGCACAGUAAGAGCUUGCUCUUACGGGUGGCGAGUGGCGGACGGGUGAGGAAUACAUCGGAAUCUACUUUUUCGUGGGGGAUAACGUAGGGAAACUUACGCUAAUACCGCAUACGACCUACGGGUGAAAGCAGGGGAUCUUCGGACCUUGCGCGAUUGAAUGAGCCGAUGUCGGAUUAGCUAGUUGGCGGGGUAAAGGCCCACCAAGGCGACGAUCCGUAGCUGGUCUGAGAGGAUGAUCAGCCACACUGGAACUGAGACACGGUCCAGACUCCUACGGGAGGCAGCAGUGGGGAAUAUUGGACAAUGGGCGCAAGCCUGAUCCAGCCAUACCGCGUGGGUGAAGAAGGCCUUCGGGUUGUAAAGCCCUUUUGUUGGGAAAGAAAAGCAGCAGGUUAAUACCCCGCUGUUCUGACGGUACCCAAAGACUAAGCACCGGCUAACUUCGUG